UGCUUGCACAAUUUUAUACUUAGUGGCGGACGGGUGAGAAACACGUAAGAACCUACCUUUUGGCGAGGGACAACCACUGGAAACGGUGGCUAAUACCUCAUAUAACUGAGAAGUGAAAGAUGAAUAAUCACCAAAAGACGGGCUUGCGUCUGAUUAGCUAGUUGGUAAGGUAAUGGCUUACCAAGGCGACGAUCAGUAGCUGGUCUGAGAGGAUGAUCAGCCACACUGGGACUGAGACACGGCCCAGACUCCUACGGGAGGCAGCAGUGAGGAAUUUUCCGCAAUGGGCGAAAGCCUGACGGAGCAAUACCGCGUGAAGGAUGAAGGCCUAUGGGUUGUAAACUUCUUUUCUCAGAGAAGAAUUUUGACGGUAUCUGAGGAAUAAGCAUCGGCUAACUCUGUGCCAGCAGCCGCGGUAAGACAGAGGAUGCAAGCGUUAUCCGGAUUAAUUGGGCGUAAAGCGUCUGUAGGUGGUUUAUCAAGUCUUUUGUCAAAGAUCAGGGCCUAACCCUGGGCAGGCAGAAGAAACUAAUAGACUUGAGUUCGGUAGGGGCAGAGGGAAUUCCCGGUGGAGCGGUGAAAUGCGUAGAGAUCGGGAGGAACACCAAAGGCGAAGGCACUCUGCUGGGCCGUAACUGACACUGAGAGACGAAAGCGAGGGUAGCAAAUGGGAUUAGAUACCCCAGUAGUCCUCGCCGUA
This 700-nucleotide ribosomal RNA is filed under the name uncultured bacterium. Its description in RNAcentral is "bacterial SSU rRNA". It matches the Rfam family "Bacterial small subunit ribosomal RNA", at positions 77 to 804 of the family's 1533-position model. The record is from RNAcentral.